CAAAGUGGAGCGCUGGAAGCCUUCCAUCCUUUCAUUUUGAAAAUUGUUCGUUAACCGACUCAAUAAUAGACCCGCAGAAUUUUGAUACACUGCCAGGAUCUACAAACAUUAUUGCAAAAGGACAGCGAUGGAAAAGCUAUUUUAAUGGUGUACCGUAAAACAGGAUAUUUAACAUCACGCCUUCGAAAUCUCUUGGUUCAAAAAAUAAUUAAAUGCAAACAAGACGAAGCCUUUGAAGAUAUUUCGAUUGGUGAAGUACUUCCUGAGUUCAGAAUUACAACAGAUGAAUUUAAAAGCUGGGCAAAAGAAAUCCACGAAGUUUUUCCUACUGAAUCCAUAGCAACGUAUUACAUCCCUUAUGCAAAAGUACAAGGACAGCGUAUCUGUGC
This is a long non-coding RNA of Neodiprion virginianus, 389 nucleotides long. RefSeq lists it as uncharacterized. Lineage: Eukaryota; Metazoa; Arthropoda; Insecta; Hymenoptera; Diprionidae. The record is from RefSeq and is a predicted model, not a curated record. The transcript has 3 exons.